UCCUUUAUCCUCUUCGUACGGAAAUAGUCUAGGUGUCGAAAUCUCAUCGCCUCUUCGUCCUUGGUUUCUAAUCCAAUGGCCAGCCUUUCAAUACCGCUGAGGAAGGUGUACCAAUUUCGGCUAUUGGCAACCUUAUCUCCAGGGAAUUCGAAAUUCGAAUUCAUCCCGUUUUCCCUCUCAAAAUCUGCCCAUUUUCCCCCUUAGCUCAGCACCAAUUUCUUCUGUAUAAACUUUCAUCUACUCUUUAUAGAAGGGGGAAUUUUCGUUCUUGAGAAGAAUACUUACAACAGCUUAAAAAAAUAGAUAAGGACAUACACAUACAGACACAUCCAAGUUGUAUUCGAAAUAGAGAUCCCGCCUAGAAUUCCCAGACAUCGUUUAAGUUCGAGUCGUGUAGUGAAGACAAGUUCCCUACUCGCACGUCUCUAGCAGGUUUCAGUGCUUAGGAGUAAAAAAUAGCAAAAUAAAGCAGAAAUUGAUGAGUUUGCUGCACAAAUUAAUUUCAUCUCCAAGGAACGAUAGUGUUGCAGCAAGAGAGCAGGAGUGUCACUUGGGACAAAAAGACUUUCCUAUUUCAAUGGCAUCAUCAGUUAAACUAAUCAUCCAAGAUAUGUUCGAGACCGAUAGACCUGCAGUUGAAUGCCAAAAGGUGUCAGAGAAUCCAAUGAUAAACUAAAAUUGAUUUUCAUAGCUGAGAGGAAUAACUCAAGUUUUUCUUUCAUAUGAAAAAAUGGUCUAUUUAACAUCACUCCCUUUGGAGUAAUUCAAACAUGUUCUUGUUUUCAUAGCACUAGACUUUGGGAUAAGACUUAUUAGCAUACUAUCGUUCAAGUCUAACAUAGUCAUGUUUAAAUUCA
This is a long non-coding RNA of Solanum pennellii, 857 nucleotides long. RefSeq lists it as uncharacterized. The record is from RefSeq and is a predicted model, not a curated record. Lineage: Eukaryota; Viridiplantae; Streptophyta; Magnoliopsida; Solanales; Solanaceae. The transcript is spliced from 2 exons.